CUGCUUCGGGAGGGUCUCGCGGCCUAUCAGCUUGUUGGUGAGGUAACGGCUCACCAAGGCGACGACGGGUAGCUGGUCUGAGAGGACGAUCAGCCACACUGGGACUGAGACACGGCCCAG
Molecule: ribosomal RNA, 120 nt
Filed under: uncultured bacterium
Lineage: Bacteria
Description: partial 16S ribosomal RNA
Rfam family: Bacterial small subunit ribosomal RNA
Source: RNAcentral